Glycine max (soybean) is the source of this 91-nucleotide non-coding RNA. The record is from Rfam. Lineage: Eukaryota; Viridiplantae; Streptophyta; Magnoliopsida; Fabales; Fabaceae.
AAUUAUGAUGCUUGCACUUGGCUCUGAGCAGUUUUAACUUUUAACUACACUUUUGAUGGAAAUGCACAGCCUAUAAAGCUAUGUCUGACUA